CAAAGGUUUGGUCCUGGCCUUCUUAUUAGCCUAUAACAAGAUUACACAUGCAAGUAUCCGCACACCUGUGAGAAUGCCCUCUACGUUAACUUAUUAACCCAAAGGAGCAGGUAUCAAGCACACUCUAAAUGUAGCUCAAAACACCUUGCUUAGCCACACCCCCACGGAUACAGCAGUGAUUAAAAUUAAGCCAUGAACGAAAGUUUGACUAAGCUAUGUUAUAGCCAAGGGUUGGUAAAUCUCGUGCCAGCCACCGCGGUCAUACGAUUAACCCAAGUUAAUAAGCCCCGGCGUAAAGGGUGUUUUAGAUAAUCUACAAAAAUAAAGUUAAACCUUGUCUAAGCUGUAAAAAGCAAUAGCCAAAGAUAAGACAGAGCACGAAAGUCACUUUAAUACUCACUCUGAACACACGAUAGCUAAGACACAAACUGGGAUUAGAUACCCCACUAUGCUUAGCCCUAAACAUAAAUUAUUCAUAAACACAAAUAUUCGCCAGAGUACUACAAGCCAUAGCUCAAAACUCAAAGGACUUGGCGGUGCUUCACAUCCCUCUAGAGGAGCCUGUUCCAUAAUCGAUAAACCCCGAUCAACCUCACCACUCCUUGUUCAUCACAGCCUAUAUACCGCCAUCUUCAGCAAACCUUAACAAAGAACAAAAGUAAGCACAAGUACAACCAUAAAAACGUUAGGUCAAGGUGUAGCCUAUGGAGUGGAAAGUAAUGGGCUACAUUUACUUAGCCAAGUACAUAUUACGAUACCUUUCAUGAAACCUGAAAGAAAAAGGAGGAUUUAGUAGUAAGCUAAGAGUAGAGUGCUUAGCUGAAUAAGGCCAUGAAGCACGCACACACCGCCCGUCACCCUCCUCAAGCACUUAUAUAGACCCAUAAACAUAUUAACUCUAGCACACAGUGUAAGAGGAGAUAAGUCGUAACAUGGUAAGCAUACUGGAAAGUGUGCUUGGAAUAAC
RNAcentral lists this non-coding RNA (967 nucleotides) under Dryomys nitedula (forest dormouse). RNAcentral's name for it is "12S ribosomal RNA". It matches the Rfam family "Bacterial small subunit ribosomal RNA". The record is from RNAcentral. Lineage: Eukaryota; Metazoa; Chordata; Mammalia; Rodentia; Gliridae.